CGUAUCACCCAAGACAACUUUGCGGAGUUGACGAUUGACGGAGCGAAGCGACGUCAAAGCGUUCAUUAAAGUCGAGUUGGCUUAGGGAUACGUUCGUUGGGUAGGGGAGCGUUCUGUAAGCCUGUGAAGGUGGCCUGUGAGGGUUGCUGGAGGUAUCAGAAGUGCGAAUGCUGACAUAAGUAACGAUAAAGCGGGUGAAAAGCCCGCUCGCCGGAAGACCAAGGGUUCCUGUCCAACGUUAAUCGGGGCAGGGUGAGUCGACCCCUAAGGCGAGGCCGAAAGGCGUAGUCGAUGGGAAACGGGUUAAUAUUCCCGUACUUGGUGUUACUGCGAAGGGGGGACGGAGAAGGCUAUGUUGGCCGGGCGACGGUUGUCCCGGUUUAAGCGUGUAGGCUGGUUUUCCAGGCAAAUCCGGAAAAUCAAGGCUGAGGCGUGACGACGAGGCACUACGGUGCUGAAGCAACAAAUGCCCUGCUUCCAGGAAAAGCCUCUAAGCAUCAGGUAACAUCAAAUCGUACCCCAAACCGACACAGGUGGUCAGGUAGAGAAUACCAAGGCGCUUGAGAGAACUCGGGUGAAGGAACUAGGCAAAAUGGUGCCGUAACUUCGGGAGAAGGCACGCUGACACGUAGGUGAAGUGAUUUACUCAUGGAGCUGAAGUCAGUCGAAGAUACCAGCUGGCUGCAACUGUUUAUUAAAAACACAGCACUGUGCAAACACGAAAGUGGACGUAUACGGUGUGACGCCUGCCCGGUGCCGGAAGGUUAAUUGAUGGGGUCAGCGCAAGCGAAGCUCCUGAUCGAAGCCCCGGUAAACGGCGGCCGUAACUAUAACGGUCCUAAGGUAGCGAAAUUCCUUGUCGGGUAAGUUCCGACCUGCACGAAUGGCGUAAUGAUGGCCAGGCUGUCUCCACCCGAGACUCAGUGAAAUUGAACUCGCUGUGAAGAUGCAGUGUACCCGCGGCAAGACGGAAAGACCCCGUGAACCUUUACUAUAGCUUGACACUGAACAUUGAGCCUUGAUGUGUAGGAUAGGUGGGAGGCUUUGAAGUGUGGACGCCAGUCUGCAUGGAGCCGACCUUGAAAUACCACCCUUUAAUGUUUGAUGUUCUAACGUGGACCCGUUACCCGGGUUGCGGACAGUGUCUGGUGGGUAGUUUGACUGGGGCGGUCUCCUCCUAAAGAGUAACGGAGGAGCACGAAGGUUGGCUAAUCCUGGUCGGACAUCAGGAGGUUAGUGCAAUGGCAUAAGCCAGCUUGACUGCGAGCGUGACGGCGCGAGCAGGUGCGAAAGCAGGUCAUAGUGAUCCGGUGGUUCUGAAUGGAAGGGCCAUCGCUCAACGGAUAAAAGGUACUCCGGGGAUAACAGGCUGAUACCGCCCAAGAGUUCAUAUCGACGGCGGUGUUUGGCACCUCGAUGUCGGCUCAUCACAUCCUGGGGCUGAAGUAGGUCCCAAGGGUAUGGCUGUUCGCCAUUUAAAGUGGUACGCGAGCUGGGUUUAGAACGUCGUGAGACAGUUCGGUCCCUAUCUGCCGUGGGCGCUGGAGAACUGAGGGGGGCUGCUCCUAGUACGAGAGGACCGGAGUGGACGCAUCACUGGUGUUCGGGUUGUCAUGCCAAUGGCACUGCCCGGUAGCUAAAUGCGGAAGAGAUAAGUGCUGAAAGCAUCUAAGCACGAAACUUGCCCCGA
RNAcentral lists this ribosomal RNA (1690 nucleotides) under Salmonella enterica subsp. enterica serovar Hadar. Its description in RNAcentral is "partial 23S ribosomal RNA". It matches the Rfam family "Bacterial large subunit ribosomal RNA", at positions 1154 to 2802 of the family's 2925-position model. Lineage: Bacteria; Pseudomonadati; Pseudomonadota; Gammaproteobacteria; Enterobacterales; Enterobacteriaceae. The record is from RNAcentral.